RNAcentral lists this unclassified non-coding RNA (216 nucleotides) under Hevea brasiliensis (rubber tree). The record is from RNAcentral. Lineage: Eukaryota; Viridiplantae; Streptophyta; Magnoliopsida; Malpighiales; Euphorbiaceae.
AUUCAAGGGACACUCAACUUGGGUGCUGCGGCAAGCAAUGCCAUACACGCCAAUUAUUUCACUGUCACCUCGUCACCCCGAAAAAUACUUGAAGAAAGGGCCUGCUUAUGUUGAUGCUAACUGUACGUACUUUGCUGGAAAGGACUUUGUAGAUUUUGGAAGUGUUGCUUGGAAAAAUGUGAUGAAAGAACAUGGAGUUGAUGAUCUUAGUCGAGU